AGUGAACGCUGGCGGUAGGCCUAACACAUGCAAGUCGAACGGCAGCACAGUAAGAGCUUGCUCUUACAGGUGGCGAGUGGCGGACGGGUGAGGAAUACAUCGGAAUCUACUUUUUCGUGGGGGAUAACGUAGGGAAACUUACGCUAAUACCGCAUACGACCUACGGGUGAAAGCAGGGGAUCUUCGGACCUUGCGCGAUUGAAUGAGCCGAUGUCGGAUUAGCUAGUUGGCGGGGUAAAGGCCCACCAAGGCGACGAUCCGUAGCUGGUCUGAGAGGAUGAUCAGCCACACUGGAACUGAGACACGGCCCAGACUCCUACGGGAGGCAGCAGUGGGGAAUAUUGGACAAUGGGCGCAAGCCUGAUCCAGCCAUACCGCGUGGGUGAAGAAGGCCUUCGGGUUGUAAAGCCCUUUUGUUGGGAAAGAAAAGCAGCAGGUUAAUACCCCGCUGUUCUGACGGUACCCAAAGAAUAAGCACCGGCUAACUUCGUG
This 492-nucleotide ribosomal RNA is filed under the name uncultured bacterium. RNAcentral describes it as "partial 16S ribosomal RNA". It matches the Rfam family "Bacterial small subunit ribosomal RNA", at positions 29 to 507 of the family's 1533-position model. The record is from RNAcentral.